CUCAGCAAUUUGUUUUUAAUUCCUUCUGAAGACAAUGGCACUGCGGGGCCCAAUAGAUCUUCAUAGUAGCCUACUGUUUACUCCUUUAUGGCUUUGGGAAGGCCUCGUGCUUUCCUUGCGCUCCCCCAAGCAGCCUCACUGGGCGCCAGCACAAUUCCAUUACCUGGGUUGGAGGGGCAAAAAAACCACUCCAAAGAUUCCUCCUCUUCCUUUUCCUCCUCUAUUCUCCUCCUUCCUCGUUCUCUUCUUCCAGCUUCCCUUGUUUCUCCUCUUCCCUCCCCCUUUUAUUCCUCUUCCUUCUCUUCUUCGUCCUCUGCCUUUUCUCUUCUCUCUUUCUCCUUCCACUUUCUCUUUAUCCUCCUUUUCCUCUUUCUUAUUUUAUUCUCUUCCUUUCUGCUUCUUUAUUCAUUUUCCUCUUCCUUUCUCUCUUUGCUCUUCUUCUUCCUCUUCUUCCUUUAUUCUCCUCCUUCCUCCUUUUCUUCUUCUCAUUCCCCUUCUUUCUCAUUCUUCCUCCCCCUUCUCAUCCUUCCCUUUUCUCCCUUGUCCUCUUCCUUCUUCUCUUCAUCCUAUGCCUUUUCUUUUUUCUCCUUCCACUUUCUCUUCAUCCUUCUCUUCCUCUCUCUUGUUUUGUGCUCUUCCUUUCUGUUUAUUCAGUUUCUUCUUUCUUUCUCUCUUUGCUUUCCCCUUCUCUUCUCCUUUCACUUUUUUCUUCUUCCUCUCUCUAGUUUUGUUCUCUUCCUCUCUUUUUAUUUUUUCAUUUCCCUCUUCCUUUCUCUCUUUGUUCUUCUUCCUCAUCUUUUUCCUCCUUCUGUUUUCCUCUGUACUCUUUCUCUCCUUCCUGCUCCCCUUCUUUCUCCUCUUUCCUCCCCUUCUUGUCCCUCUUCUUUUCUCCCUUGUCCUGUUCCUUCUCUUCUUCAUCCUUUGCCUUUUUUCUUCUCUCCUUUCACUUUCUCUUUAACCUCCUCUUCCUCUCUCUUGUUUUGUUCUGUUUCUUUAUUCAUUGCUCCUCUUCCUUUCUCUCUGCUUUUUUCCUUCCCUUCUCUCCUCCUUCCACUUUCUCUUUAUCCUCCUCUUCCUCUCUCAUUUUGUUCUCUUCUUCAUUUCUCCUCCUCUUCCUUUGCUCAUUUCCUCUUACAUUCACUUCCUCCUUUCUCUUCCUUUGCUUUGUUCUCUUCCUUUCUUUUUUGUUCUCUUCUCUUUCUCUUUAUUCUCCCCUCCUUCACUUUUCUCCUCCCCCUAACUUCUCUUCUUCCUCCUCUUCCCUUUUGUUUGUUCUCUCCUUCUGUCUCCUUUCUCAUUCCAUGUCUUCUUCCUCCCCUUCCUUCUCUUCAUUAUUUCCUGCUUCUCUUCCUUUCUCUUUUUGUUUUUCUUCCUCCUUCCACCUUCUUUAUCCUCUUUAUUAUUUCUUUCACCCUUCCUUUCUUCUAUCCUUUCUCUUACUCUUUAUCCUAUUUCUCCUCUCUCUAUAUUCUCUACCUUCCUUUUGUCUUCUCCUUUUUAAUCCUUCUCACAUCUUUUAUUUCUUCACCUUCCUGUUUCUUCUUUUCCUUCUUCCACAUUAUCUUUUCUCCUUCAACCUCAUCUUCCUCCUUUUUCUUUCUCCUCUUUUUUCCCUUUCUUUUCUUUUUGGUAUUCCCCCUUUUUCUUUUCUUCACUCUUCUUUUCUUUUUCCUCUCUAUUCCUUUCUUCCCCAUUUCCUUUGCUUCCCAAGGUUCUUUAGGGGAGAACUAGACAUAAGGAGCAUCCUUCCUUUCAACUCUUCCUUUACCUUCCUCCCUCAUAGCUUUUGCCACCUCAAAGAACCACAGAAUCUUAGAAUUUAAAGAGAUCUUAGAGGUCACCUAGUGCAAACUCCCACUUCCAUGAUUUAUGACUUCAGCCAUUCACUUCUAUAAGCCAAGCCCCAAAGCAUUCUGGGAGGAGGAAGAGUCAUUUAUAGUCCAAUUCCCACUGUUUUCCUCCUGUAUUCCCAGCUGGGAGCCUGGAGAGUGGGAGAGAAAGAAGAACGAGAUUGGUGUUUUUCUUGCAAGCAAAGUUUUGUUUUUUUUUAAAUACACUACAGAUUAGGGCUGACCCUUUUAUCCCCACACCCUACUUUGGCAGUGGGGGUUGGGAAACAAAAUUCUGCGCCUCUGUGUCACCCAGUCUCCUCUCUUAAUAGUCCUCAUGUUCCCUUAAUUAGCCCUUCCACCAGAGAAACCUUCAUUUGGGAGGUUGUGC
Molecule: long non-coding RNA, 2220 nt
Filed under: Monodelphis domestica (gray short-tailed opossum)
Lineage: Eukaryota; Metazoa; Chordata; Mammalia; Didelphimorphia; Didelphidae
Description: lncRNA (ENSMODG00000027681.2)
Source: RNAcentral